GUAAUUUGGACAAUGGGCGAAAGCCAGAUCCAGCAAUGCCGCGUGCAGGAUGAAGGCCUUCGGCUUGUAAACUGCCUCUGUACGGAACGAACAUCUUUGGGUUAAUACCCUGGAGUCAUGACGGUCGCGUAAGCAUAAGCAACGGCUAACUACGUGGCAGAAACCGCGGUAAUACGUAGGGCGCAAGCGUUAAUCGGAAUUACUGGGCGAAAAGCGUGCGCAGGCGGUUUUGUAAGACAGAGGUGAAAUCCCCGGGCUCAACCUGGGAACUGCCUUUGUGACUGCAAGGCUAGAGUACGGCAGAGGGGAGUGGAAUUCCGCGUGUAGCAGUGAAAUGCGUAGAUAUGCGGAGGAACACCGAUGGCGAAGGCAACCCCCUGGGCCUGUACUGACGCUCAUGCACGAAAGCGUGGGGAGCAAACA
This 423-nucleotide ribosomal RNA is filed under the name uncultured bacterium. Its description in RNAcentral is "partial 16S ribosomal RNA". It matches the Rfam family "Bacterial small subunit ribosomal RNA", at positions 359 to 774 of the family's 1533-position model. The record is from RNAcentral.